This 464-nucleotide ribosomal RNA is filed under the name Vreelandella stevensii. RNAcentral describes it as "partial 16S ribosomal RNA". It matches the Rfam family "Bacterial small subunit ribosomal RNA", at positions 338 to 794 of the family's 1533-position model. The record is from RNAcentral. Lineage: Bacteria; Pseudomonadati; Pseudomonadota; Gammaproteobacteria; Oceanospirillales; Halomonadaceae.
CCUACGGGCGGCUGCAGUGGGGAAUAUUGGACAAUGGGCGAAAGCCUGAUCCAGCCAUGCCGCGUGUGUGAAGAAGGCCUUCGGGUUGUAAAGCACUUUCAGUGGGGAAGAAAGCCUUGGGGCUAAUACCCUCGAGGAAGGACAUCACCCACAGAAGAAGCACCGGCUAACUCCGUGCCAGCAGCCGCGGUAAUACGGAGGGUGCGAGCGUUAAUCGGAAUUACUGGGCGUAAAGCGCGCGUAGGCGGUCUGAUAAGCCGGUUGUGAAAGCCCCGGGCUCAACCUGGGAACGGCAUCCGGAACUGUCAGGCUAGAGUGCAGGAGAGGAAGGUAGAAUUCCCGGUGUAGCGGUGAAAUGCGUAGAGAUCGGGAGGAAUACCAGUGGCGAAGGCGGCCUUCUGGACUGACACUGACGCUGAGGUGCGAAAGCGUGGGUAGCAAACAGGAUUAGAUACCCCAGUAUC